Long non-coding RNA from Aplysia californica (California sea hare), 1243 nucleotides. RefSeq lists it as uncharacterized. NCBI's taxonomy places the organism in Eukaryota, Metazoa, Mollusca, Gastropoda, Aplysiida, Aplysiidae. The transcript is spliced from 2 exons. The record is from RefSeq and is a predicted model, not a curated record.
CUCCUCCCUUCAUUCCUCCUUCCCUCCUUCCCUCAGAGAUCAGUCUGCUGGUGUGAUGAACCCUAUGGUGCAGAGUUUGUUCGCCAGUGCUCAAAGCCAGGUCACAGAGACAGGCUCGAGCAUGUCAAAGAGGAAGAAGUGAAGGUCAACGGAUGUCACCGGAUGUCUUUGGGUGUAUCCAUAUGUCUCUGGAUGUAUCCGCUAUGUCUCUGGAUGUAUCCGCUAUGUCUGUGGAUGUUGCUGGUGCAGAGAUUGUCGUUCGUUCCCUGUGACAGAAUCUUUUGUGUCAUCUGUGGACCUUUGUCUUUUCUCUUUAGUUUGUCUGUUUGUUGUAGUGUCGUCAGUGUGCUUGUGACCUGUGAGUUGGUCCGUCUGUCUGUCUGUUGUAGUGUCAUCAGUGUGUCUGUGACCUGUGAGUUGGUCCGUCCGUCUGUCUGUUGUAGUGUCGUCAGUGUGUCUGUGACCUGUGAGUUGGUCCGUCUGUCUGUCUGUUGUAGUGUCGUCAAUGUGUCUGUGACCUGUGAGUUGGUCCGUCUGUCUGUCUGUUGUAGUGUCGUCAGUGUGCCUGUGACCUGUGAGUUGGUCCCGUGGGGAUGCUGAGGUCUGUGGAAAGUUCUCCCAGUUUAUCCGUGGACUUGACCGGAUGUGCUGACACCAAAUAUGAUUGUAUUUUAUUCUCUGUCUCCCUGGGGACAUGUACAAAGACAGCAGUAGGGCAGACAGGGCAACUUGGAGGAAAUGCUCGUCUGUCAAAGGAUCACUGGGACUUUCCCUGCAGGAAACAUCUUGGAGUAAAACUUGAAAUAUUUCUUGUAUUUGUUGUGUAGAGAAUGUGGCUGUGGUCCAGAGAUCUCGAUACCUCAACAGUCCGUGAAUGUGGCUGUGGUCCAGAGAUCUCGAUACCUCAACAGUCCGUGAAUGUGGCUGUGGUCCAGAGUUCUCGAUACCACAACAGUCCGAGAAUGUGGCUGUGGUCCAGAGAUCUCGAUACCUCAACAGUCCGAGAAUGUGGCUGUGGUCCAGAGAUCUGGAUGCCUCAACAGUCCGUGGCCAAUCUCUUCACUGUUUGUUUUUCUCAAAAAAGCGUGCCAGUUUUUGAGAGAAUAUAUUUUUGUUCUGCAGAAUUGUACCUAAUUGUUUUAAUGAGCGUGAAAGAAAAGAGCUAGACAUUGUGUCUGAUUUGUGCCCUUUUAUUGUUCCUUCAAGUAUGCAAAUAAAUUAUGUCUAAUGUAGUGUAAUGAAA